Long non-coding RNA from Bos taurus (domestic cattle), 768 nucleotides. The record is from Ensembl. NCBI's taxonomy places the organism in Eukaryota, Metazoa, Chordata, Mammalia, Artiodactyla, Bovidae.
GUAUCCGUGGGGUCUUUGGGGGGAUAUGCUCAGGGAUUGUCAAAAUAGGAGUCAGUUACUUAGGAGAACAGUCCAAGCUGAGCAUAGAAAUACAGGUGGAGGGAAACUCGACUCAAUCCAGGUGAAGACUGAGGCCCUGAGAAGGGAAGUAGCAGCUCAGGGAGGCCUCAUUGAGCAUGAGAAGAGAGCAUGGCGAGAACCCAGCUUGCAUGGCUCUUCACCUCCCCCAGCAUGCCCAGAGUGCCAGAUGCCAACACUGGUCUGAUGUUCCAUGUGCAGUAGGAGGACAUGAGUUGGUGCACGGGGACUCAGUGCCAUGAACUAAAAAGCCACUGAACAGUUCCCUAGUGACUGGAGUUAAUCAGAUUUCACCAAAUGCCUAACCACGUUGUGGAAGAGAGUCUACAUGUGGGAGACACUGCUCGCUGCAUCUCCAUUUAAUCUCUUUCUCCUUUGAAGCAACGUAUUUCCCACAGGAUCCCCUGACUUUCUGAGAUUAUGUAUUUUGCUGUUGGGGAGCUUUUUUUCCUCCUCAGUUCUACAAUAAACUCUUUGUUGUUUAACAUUCUAUUAACCACAACCCUCUAGUAACCGGCACAUCUGUAAGUCUCCAGUAUAAUAAUUGUUGUUCAUAACCAUGACCCUGGGGCUCUGCGUGGUCUCAGAUGCUUCCAAGUCAUCAAAGGGAAUGCACUAAAAUGAUUUUGCAUUCCCAGAGCACACAUCAACCAACCACAGAGGGAAGGAGUCCAGAUAAGUGUUAGGUAG